GACGAACGCUGGCGGCGUGCUUAACACAUGCAAGUCGAGCGGUAAGGCCCUUUCGGGGUACGACGAGCGGCGAACGGGUGAGUAACACGUGGGUGACCUGCCUUUAGCUCUGGGAUAAGCCUGGGAAACUGGGUCUAAUACCGGAUAUGACCCUAUGGCGCAUGUUGUGGGGUGGAAAGCCUUGUGCGGCUAGGGAUGGGCCCGCGGCCUAUCAGUUUGUUGGUGGGGUGAUGGCCUACCAAGGCGACGACGGGUAGCCGGCCUGAGAGGGCGACCGGCCACACUGGGACUGAGACACGGCCCAGACUCCUACGGGAGGCAGCAGUGGGGAAUCUUGCGCAAUGGGCGAAAGCCUGACGCAGCGACGCCGCGUGA
This 375-nucleotide ribosomal RNA is filed under the name uncultured bacterium. Its description in RNAcentral is "bacterial SSU rRNA". It matches the Rfam family "Bacterial small subunit ribosomal RNA", at positions 28 to 404 of the family's 1533-position model. The record is from RNAcentral.